GCGAACGCUGGCGGCAUGGCUAAAGCAUGCAAGUCGCACGGUUAAAGCCCCUUCGGGGGUGUAUAAAGUGGCGAAAGGGCGAGGAAUACGUUCCUAACGUACCCCGAGGUCGAGGAUAGCCCAGGGAAACCUGGAGUAAUACUCGAUGUGGUCCGUCGUCAGGCGGAUCAAAGGUUCGCCGCCUUGGGAGCGGGGAACGUCUUAUCAGGUUGUUGGUGGGUAACGGCUCACCAAGCCGAAGACGGGUAGCGGGUGUGAGAGCACGACCGCCGCAUCGGGACUGAGACACUGCCCGGACUCCUACGGGAGGCUGCAGCAACGAAUCUUCCGCAAUGCGCGAAAGCGUGACGGAGCAAUGCCGCGUGCAGGAUGAAGCCCUUCGGGGUGUAAACUGCUGUCAGGGUUUAGCAACACAAUGAGCAGACCCAAAGGAAGGGCCGGCUAACUUCGUG
RNAcentral lists this ribosomal RNA (452 nucleotides) under uncultured bacterium. RNAcentral's name for it is "bacterial SSU rRNA". It matches the Rfam family "Bacterial small subunit ribosomal RNA", at positions 29 to 507 of the family's 1533-position model. The record is from RNAcentral.